This is a long non-coding RNA of Cyprinus carpio (common carp), 8179 nucleotides long. NCBI's taxonomy places the organism in Eukaryota, Metazoa, Chordata, Actinopteri, Cypriniformes, Cyprinidae. The record is from Ensembl.
AAAUAAGUUCACUGAUAUUCUUAGGUGAUAUCCUAUUUUGGGUGAGGCCAUCAGAUUCAAUCCAAACAAGGAUUAUUACAGAAAACGUUUCAGACAGAAACAUGCUGCAUUUUUAGUGUAAAUUCGGCUCUUACAGAUGUAUUUUCUGUUCUCGAUUCAUGUUUUAACACAGUUGGCCUUUGCUGCUGAGCCAACAUUUCUUCAGCGGACCUUAUCUAAAGGUGUGCUCCCUCAUGAAACUCCUAUUAACGCGUCUUUCUCAGUAGUCUUCGCUCUAUGCUGCGAAUUGCUUUCUUUUGUUUCCUUCUAAUGAAUUUAGCCUGAGUUCACAUUAUUGCUUUGUGCAGAAUGUGUAGCCUGAUGUAUUUUUCAUUUCAUCUCUCUCCUUCUUUCAUGCCAUCCUCAGAAACCGCCAUAGUCUAAGACAUCUCCUCCUCGUCCUCAGCCAAAAGAACUUCUCACAACAUCAAAGAAAGCCGGAGAGAAGGAGAGCGGGAAGGAGGGGUCUGCCUUGUAUCUGGGUUCUCAUGGAGAAGACGGUGGAGGAGAGGGGGAGGGGGAAAGCGAUUGAGAGAGAGAGAGAGAGAGAGAGAAAGAAAGGCAGGUAUGGAGGGAGGGAAACGAGGAUGAGAGAGGAACGAAGCCAACCAACCAGCUGAAAGAGAACGAGCGAUCGGGGCUGUUUGAACGUGGCUGGGAGAAAAGGAGGGAGGAGGGAGAGAGAGAGGGUGAGAUCGAUUGUCAGAUCCGAGGAAAUAGAAGUGUUACUAUUGCACGGCCACUGGAACGGUGUCUGCCUGCUGAGGAUAUGCAUUGGCUCCCAGCGCUCACCGGCUCGCAGGACACGCUCUAAGAUGUAAUUUCCAAAGGCCUAAUUGUUGCCACGGAGGGAUCUACAAAUAGAGGCAACCACAGCAAGACAUGUGUCUCUGGGGAUGAUGCCGUUGCCGCUGGUGCCACUCUCCCUGUCGCCAUGACGAUGCCGCUCAGCCCCCUCUCCAGCGACGAGGAGCAGCAAAGGAUGCUGGGAAACAGUCAACACCUUUAUCCAGGGGCAGAAGAGGAAGAAGAAGAGGAGGAGGAGGAGGAAGAGGAAAUGGAUGAUGACUGCGUGGACGAGGAAGGCGAGGAGGAGAACGGAGAGCUGGAGUUGGAUGAUGAAGAGGACGUGGACGACGAAGAUGACAUCAGGCGAGGUCCAAGGCGUUUGAGAGGAGGCAGGGAAGAGGGGCACAGGCAAAAAGGCACAAUGGCUGGACGACUUCCAGGAGACAGACCGCUACGAGCUGGCAACCCGGGCCACACAGCCAACCCGUAUUCGUCCAACACUGGACCCACCCACCAAGCGCCGGCUAAUCAGCAGCAGCCGCAACAGCAGCGGAAGCUACGAGAGCGAAGCUCAAGCAACGCACCUGACGACACACACAUAGCUAUGAUGGUCUUUCGAAUUGGCAUUCCUGAUAUCAAACAGACGAAGUGUCUGAGGUUCAACCCUGAUGCAACCGUAUGGAAGGCAAAGCAGCAGGUGCUGUGUAGUCUAACUGAAUCUCUAAGGGAUGUAUUAAACUACGGUCUUUUCCAACCUGCUACCGAAGGGCACGAUGCCAAGUUCCUGGAGGAAGAGAGGCCGCUCCGCGAAUACCCACAAUCCUUUGAGAAAGGAGUACCCUACCUGGAGUUCCGCUACAAAACCAGGGUGUACAAACAGACAAAUCUAGAUGAAAAACAGCUGGCCAAACUACACACAAAGGCCAGUCUGAAGAAGUUCAUGGACUACAUCCAGACCGGGGCUGUGGAAAAGGUAGCCAAACUUGUAGACAAAGGCCUUGACCCCAACUACCAUGACCCUGAUACAGGAGAGACCCCACUCACUCUGGCCGUACAGACGGAGCCGGGUGGAGGGGAGAUCAUCAGGGUGCUGGUGAUGGGGGGAGCUCACAUUGACUUCAGGGCAAAGGAUGGCUUGACCCCUCUCCACAAGGCUGUCAGAGCGCAUGCGCACACUGCCCUACUGACGCUGUUGUCUUUGGGGGCAUCUUCUGAUUAUAAGGACCGCCGUGGGCUGACACCACUGUACCACACUGUGCUGACAGGGGGUGACACCUCCUGCUGUGAGACCCUCCUCUAUCACAGAGCCAAGCUGGGGCUCCGUGAUGAGAAUGGCUGGGACGAGACCCAUCAGGAAAGCUGUGCCCGCAUUUUGCUGUAUCGAGGAGCCAAUAAGGACACAAAGAAUAACAGUGGGCAGACCCCCUUCCAGGUGGCUGUGAUGUCUGGCCAUUUUGAGCUGGGAGAAAUCAUUAAAAACCACCGUGAAUCAGAUGUAGUUCCCUUUUUGGAGUCUCCAAAGUAUGCCCCCCAGAGGAAGGAGAGUUCACGUACUCUUGGAUUGCCCCAUCCUCAUCCCUUCUUGCGGGCCAACAGUGACAACAGUAUGAACGUGCCAGACUGGAUCGCUUUUCCCAACGCUGCCGGAUCAAACCUAGUCUCUGUGCAGGGUCUAAAGCAUGGCGGCACCUUGCGUAGCUCCAGCAGUCCCCGUGGAGCACGAACCCGUUCCCCGUCCCGUGGCCGAACAGGCGACCGAGACGAUCGGAGCCGGCAAACACGGGGAAGACAAGGGGCUGGCUCUAUCAGUAGUCAGGGCACAGCAAGCGGGCAGCGGCGGCGUCUCUACAGUGCCGUGCCUGGCCGUGUGUUUGUGGCCACCCGCUCGCACUCGGCCCAGGGAGACCGCGAGAUCAGCUUCAACAAGGGAGACAAAGUCAAAGUGUUGAGUGUUGGUGAAGGAGGCUACUGGGAGGGGACAGUUCGCGGGCGGACGGGCUGGUUCCCCUCUGACUGCGUGGAGGAGGUGGCUCUCCGCAGCCUGGAGUCCCGUUCAGAGAGCCGCAGUGAGAGAGCCAAGCGACUAUUCCGACAUUACACCGUUGGAUCCUAUGAUAGCUUUGACGCACCCAGUGACUACAUAAUCAAGGAGAAGACAGUCCUCCUGCAGAAAAAAGACAAUGAAGGUUUUGGCUUUGUGCUGAGAGGAGCCAAGGCUCAGACCCCUAUAGAAGAGUUCACUCCCACCCCAGCCUUUCCAGCACUGCAGUACCUCGAGUCUGUCGACGAGGGAGGCGUGGCUUGGAGAGCUGGUCUGCGAAUGGGAGACUUCCUUAUCGAGGUGAAUGGUCAGAAUGUGGUUAAGGUGGGACACAGGCAGGUGGUCAAUAUGAUCAGGCAAGGCGGCAACAGCCUCAUGGUCAAGGUUGUCAUGGUUACCCGGAACCCUGAUAUGGAGGAAGGGGUCCGAAAGAAAAUCCCACAGCAGAGUAAAAGGCUGAGCACACCGGCUAUCGCUCUGCGCUCCAAAUCAAUGACAUCAGAACUGGAAGAGAUGGUGUUCACAGCCUCUGCCCCAUGGAAAAAAAAAUCAGAGUUCGAGUCUUCACAAGCUACAGAGAAGAAGAGGACAGUUUAUCAGAUGGCUUUGAAUAAACUGGAUGAGAUUUUAGCAGCAGCACAGCAGACCAUCAACACCAAUGAGGCCCCAGGGCCCCGGGUUCAGGGGGUAAAAAGAGAACGGGGCAGAGGCUUUUAUAAUGAGCCAAGUUUCGACCAAUCGGGAAUGGGGAUGACAACAUCUGGGGCAGGGCUAGGCUAUGACCGUGGUCAAUUUGUGUCUGGCCACGCCCCCCCGCACGGUAUGCUGCGACAGAAGUCCAUCGGGGUUCCAGAGGAGGAGAAGCAGUUCCUUCAUCCUCCAGCCAUGAAGUUUGCCCGCAGUCUUUCAGUACCUGGCCCAGAUGACAUCCCUCCUCCCCCUACUACAGCUCCCCCUGAGCCCCCUUUCUCCUCAGCUCCCCCUCUUGGCUUUAGGGGCAAGACAUCCCAGCAGCCGUCUGUUUCUAUGUCCCAAUCCACUUCCUCUUCUGCACAUUAUCAGCUCUACUCACAGUCAGUACAUGUCACACAUGGACCCAGAGACAGGUCCCCUGGACCACCUGCUGGGUCCGGAACCGGAGACCUCUCUUACUCACAUGCUCAAGCCCACCCCUCUGUGCCAAGCAGGACUGCCUCCAGAAAGGUGAUUGGGUACACAGGGGACCUUGCAGGGGCUGGAGGAGCACCAGGAGCCAAGGCAGCAGCAUUGAGAAGGGGCUACAGCAAUGCAGUCCCACCCACUAGUGUCGCUACUGUAAUUCCACAACAGCAGCAGACUACUCAGAGCCAACCUUCCAGGAUGGACCGCAGUGCGACAGGGGCAGGAGCAGGGGCAGGUGGUGUACCGAAAGGUGGUGCCCGGAGAGGGAAGGGGCCCUUGGUGAAACAGUCAAAGGUGGAGGAUCUGCGUCAGGGCCAGGGCACACUGGAAGGGAAGGGGUCAGUGGAGAAGAGCUCUAUUCCUAUCCCAACCAUCAUCGUUAAAGCUCCUUCCACCAGCAGCAGUGGUCGCAGUAGCCAAGGCAGCAGCAUGGAGGCUGAACCACCUCCUCCAGGAGAGAGUGACAGUUCUAAACCCCAACCUAUUGUUCCCCCACCUGCACCCACCGUUCCACCCCCAGCCCCUCCAUCUAUACCUGCUCCCCCACCCCCAUCACUGCGUACUCAAGAGAGUUUGGACUUCACCAGCCAGUUUGGUGCUGCCAUAGUAGGGGCAGCUCGCAGGGAUCGAGAACGAUUCCAUGAAGCACGACGGAAGAGUGCCUCCUUUUUUCUUUCUGCUGAGGAAGAGUUGGGUGGAGCAGGAGAAGUGGGAGGACGGACCCAGACUUCCCAACAGCAGCUGAGUUCCCAGCCUUUACCUCGUCUGCGACCGUCCAAAUCUAUAGAUGAAGGCAUGUUCUCAGGUGAUACUUUUAUCCACCACACACGCAGUAUGCCUCCUGCCUUUGGCCUGCCUGAGUACUCCUCACCUGCUCCUCCUGGGGAUUACCAGCCUAAGUCUGUACCUGCUGACUUCUAUGGGGCGGGAGGCCGACAACAGCAGCAGCAGCAGCAAUCCUCCACCACAACUUUCAUUCACCCAUUAACGGGGAAAGUUCUGGAUCCUUCAUCCCCACUAGGCUUGGCGUUGGCUGCAAGGGAACGUGCCUUGAAAGAUGAUGGUCGCAUACGCAGGGAGAGGACAACUGAACAUCAUUUUACCCGUCAGUUGUCCAGCAUUGGGGCCUUUCCCUCGUCCACUGCUCAACCAGCAUCACAUAUCUCCUACUCAAUGGCCUCGUCUUCCUCUGCAACCUCCUCUGCUGCUCAGUCCUCAAGCUCCUCCUCGUACCUUGUUACCUCCUCAUCACUCGCUGCCACCACUACAUCUACUCGGCCUCCAUCUCCCAGGAUCCUGCGUGGAGCAGGAACCAGCUGGGGUGAGGAAGCAGGGGUUGGAGAGCGUGCAGACAGGGAGGCAGCUGGCACCUCUGCUCCCAGAGAAGGCCUAAGGGUUCGUUUCUCUGAGGAUAAAACAGUCCACACGCACCACUAUCAGCCCACCUACAAGGAGCGCGAACGAGAGCGGCAGAGAGAGAGGUCACGAGAAAGAGAGAGAGAACGAGAAAGGGAAAGAGAGAUAGAUAAAGCUCAGACCCAGUUACAGCAGCAGUCCACACAGCCAACACCCCAGCAGCCUCGACGCCCCUCGUUCUUGAGGAUGGAGAGUGAGGCUGGAGCAUACAUCCUUUCCUUGACACCACCUUCAACAACAGCCCCUACACGUCCUUCAGCAGGAGCUGCAGGUGAAGGUGCAAGUGGCACUGGUCUGAUGGUUCUUCCUCCCCCAGCACCCUCAGUAGAUGCAGAUGAUGAGUUUGUGUUUGUUGAUCCUCUCCCUCCACCUCUGGAGUUUGCCAAUAGUUUUGAUCGUGGUUUGAGUUACUCUGCGAUGAUGUCCCACAAUGUGACAGCCCGCCAGCAGCUUCAUCAUCCACCUCAACCACCACCUCCUCCGCCACCUCCUCCCCCUCCAAAAGACUCCUUUAUGUCUGGGUUCCCACCUCACACACCCCUGCCCUCACCCCAGGCAGGAGAUUCAACAACUUCCAGCCUUACUUCCUAUGACAGUGAGGUCGCCAACCUCACCCAGUCAGCCCCGUCUCCCUCUCCAUCUUCCCCCAACCCACUACCGCCUCCCUCUCCCUCCACCUUGCAGCCCUCUGGGCCACCUCCACCUCCUUCUGUAUCACCCCCGCCACCACCCACCUCCUACCAUAGACCGUUUGGCCUAUCUCAGUCACAACACUUAUACAACAGUACAAAUUCAGCCGGACGCUCCUCUUCUCCCACACCACCACCUCUCUCUAUUCCAGCUCCACCUGCCUACCGGGGCCCUCCAACAGCAACAUCCACCCCAGCAACUUCUGUAUCUCUCAGAGGUGCCUCAACUGUGACCGCAAGCUGUUCCACAACUGCUUCUACAACUGUAGUCUCUUCUGCUACUACUGCUGCUGCUGCUGUCACACCACACACACGCAUUGCAACUGUCUCCACAGUAGCUACAGGGGGUAGCAGACGGCCCAGCGCAGAGCGCCAUCCGCCACCCAGUGCAGCUAAGAGCGGCGAGUCCCAGGAGACAGUGGUGGAUUCUGGGAUUGAGGAGCUGGAUAGCCGAAGCAGCAGCGACCAUCACUUAGACAACAUCCUUGCACGCAGUGGUAGUGGGGUCAGAGAAAGGUUGGAGAGAGCAGGGAUGGGUAGCUUAGGUGGAGUUGGAGAGAGAGGUGGGGCAACAGAGGCCGACAGAAUAAGUGGGGCAGACUUUUUAGAGUCUUACAUGAGCUAUCUUGAUGGACAGACUUUUGAAAUGCACAAUGCCAAAGCCGCCAGCACUGCAUCCACCUACCCAAAAACACAGAGGUACAGAGAAGGGAGUCGGGCUGGAGAUCUUCGACGCCAAACCAGCACGGCACCCCCUGCAUACCACCGUCGUAGGGAUGAGGAAGAGGAGGAGGAGGAAGAAGCAGAAGAAGGAGAGGAGGAGGAUGUGAAUGUCCGCGAUGGCUAUGGAAUGAGGGAAGUGCCAGGGAUCGCUCGCUCCUCUGUAAUGUACUUUGACCGGCCCCGCACUCCAGAGAUAAAACCUCUGUGGGGUGAUGGGUCGGCCGGGGCAGCGCAGUCCAUGGGGGAGGGAGGGGUCCAGACUGGGGGGACAUAUGUGGAGGCACGUAAACUGCAUCCUCCCAUGUCCGGUAUGAAGGCAAGCAUCAUCAAUGAACUCAGCACCAAAUUACAGCAGAGGAGCAAAGGAACGGAGAACUGGGGAACUCAGAGAUCACUGAGCAGACAUAGGUACAGGUUCUCAGAGGACUCCACAGGUGCACUGAGUCCUCCCUCUGUCCGCUCUAGCUCUCCAUCUCCUGUUCAGCUCUCUCAGCCUGCCUUGUCUCCCUCCCCCACCCCUUCUUCCCAGCCGCUCUACCCAAAUUGGGCUCGAUCUCCUUCCCCUCAGCCCCCUGCUGCCUCAUCCCAGCUUCCUCCCCGAUCACACUCACCUGUUUCUCCCUCUUCAUAUUCACCGUACCCUACCUCACCCAAACACCGGCCCGUUUACCGCACCAAAGCCCUGGAGUUCCAGUUUAUCCCCAGCAGAGAGUCACGUAAGGCAGAGUCGCAUCACGCUCAGCGCAGAAGAGCACCCAGCCCGUUAAUUUCACCCUCUGACCGCCCAAAGCUUGGCCCUCCCCGCCCCUCUUCCCUUCCCAUUCUCCCCACCACGCCCCUCUAUAGCAGCUUGUAUGACCUCCGUGGUUCUAUUACUCCACCCUCACCUGCCAAUCCUCUUGGGGACCCCUACUUCUCCCCCUCUCCCCCUCUCUUUGCCCCCUCGGGGGCUCCACCUCCUCCAAAUUCCUCUCUGGUGGUCUCUCGCUCCUUGUCCCCCACCCACUUCCUGUCAGGGACUUCAUCCCCACCACUCCACCCCAUUCCUCCACCCACUUGCCUGAGUUACCCUCACCUCCCACCCCCUUCACCCACCAAACCCUUUGCCUCCAAACCACUCCCAUAUUGGACCAAGUAUGAUGUGGCGGAUUGGCUGGGCUACCUGAACCUGGGUGAGCACAGGGAGCGAUUCCUAGACAACGAGAUUGAUGGCACGCACCUACCCUCUCUUACCAAGGAUGACUACCUGGACCUGGGUGUGACCAGGGUUGGCCAUCGCAUGAACAUAGAGAGGGCGCUCAGGAGAGUGAUGGACAGGUGA